RNAcentral lists this long non-coding RNA (250 nucleotides) under Nicotiana tabacum (common tobacco). Its description in RNAcentral is "long non-coding RNA (NTAB_LNC005132)". Lineage: Eukaryota; Viridiplantae; Streptophyta; Magnoliopsida; Solanales; Solanaceae. The record is from RNAcentral.
CCUUAUUCUCCAGGUGGAGCCUGAUUUCUAUUUCUUUUGUCCUUGUUCUCCAGGUGGACGCCUGAUUUCUUAUUUCUUUGUCCUUGUUCUCCAGGUGGACGCCUGAUUUCUUCUUUUCUUUGUCCUUGUUCUCCAGGUGGACGCCUGAUUUCUAUUUUUCUUUGUCCUUGUUCUCCAGGUGGACGCCUGAUUUCUUCUUUUCUUUGUCCUUGUUCUCCAGGUGGACGCCUGACUUCUAUUUUUCUUUGGC